Molecule: unclassified non-coding RNA, 2501 nt
Filed under: Apis dorsata (giant honeybee)
Lineage: Eukaryota; Metazoa; Arthropoda; Insecta; Hymenoptera; Apidae
Description: autophagy-related protein 16-1, transcript variant X2
Source: RNAcentral
AUGGGUAAAAAAUUCAAUUUUGUAUUAAUUUAUCUAUGAUAUUUAUCUUUGACGUAAUUAAUCAUCAAAGAGAGGUUAUUUGAAAGAAUUUUAUUAUCUGUUAUCGACUUAACUGAAUUUGUAUUUAUAUAUUGAACUCUCGCAAACAGAAUAAAUCGACAUUUUGAAUAACCGGCAAUUUCAGGGUAGCAGUGUAGUGUUUGGUAUACUUAGGUUAGAAUAGCUAUUUUCAUAAUUAAAAAUAUUCGUGGUAAAUCUGAAUGUCAUGUGAUUAGUACGACAUUUUUCGAUAUUAAUAGUGAUUAAUAUUCGAAUGAAAGUUUAUUGAUCUAAAAUAUAUUUUUUGUGGCGAUAUAGUAUAUGUCGAAGGUUGUCAAAAUAUCUAUCAACUGUUCUUCUGUCAAAUGAUUUUUAUACGACUUUGAUAAAAAAAGAUAAAUAAUUUAAAUUGCAACAAUAUUAAUAAUAUUUCAUGCAUUGAAAAUGGCCGCGAGUGAACCAGGUGUAUCAUUACUUUCUAGAGAAGAUAAUAAGUGGAGAAAAGAUUUAAUUUUUCAAUUACAAGAAAGGAACAAGAGACAAACAUAUUGUUUUGCAGAUCUUAUUAGUUUACAUAAUAGAUUGUUUGAAAGUGCAAAUACAUUACGUGGAGAAAAUAUUCAGUUAACUAUAGCAAAUGAAACUCUCCGUCGUGAAGCAGCAAGUGGGACUCCUGGUUUAAGUGUAAAUGCUGAUCUUGAAGCUCGACUUCUAAAGCAAGCAGAAGAAUUAGCAACAUUACAUAAAAGAAAAGGAGAACAUACACAACAAAUAGUAGAUCUCAAUAAUAAAUUACAAGAAAUGAUGAAAGAACUUCAAGUUAAGGAAACAAAUCUUGCAGAAAGUAUAGAGCUUAAUACAAAUUUACGUUUAGAAAUAUCUAAAUGCCUUAACAAAGAGAAGGAAUUGGAAAGCAUUAAUCAAAUGUUAAAAGAUGAGCAUCAAGCUUUGCAACUUGCUUUUGCAUCUUUAGAAGAAAAGCUUAGAAAAACACAGGAAGAAAAUCGUCAAUUAAUAGAACGUUUGAUUAAAUACAAAACUCGAGAUGCAGAAAAAGUGAAUGAAGAAAAUGACAACUUUUUGAAUGAGAGUUUUUCCAGUCCGACAGCCUUUUUGAUGCAUACCAUUUCAAAAUUUGGAAAAAGGCAAGCAAAGGUUCAAAAAGAAUUAGAAGAUGCUGCACGUGACACACGACCAGUUAGUCCUGAUAGAUCGAGUUUAAAAGAAGGAAUCGCUGGUCUUCCUACUGCGGUACCGACGAAAGUAUCCGUCACGUUUACUGCACACGACGGAGAAGUUUAUGCCGUAAAAUGGUCUCCCGUCGAGAGGAUGCUUGCCACCGGUGGUGCUGACAGGAAGGUGAAGCUUUGGAAUAUCUCAAAAGGUGCUUCAGAGAGCAAAGGUAUUCUCGUUGGUAGCAAUGCUGGAGUGAUGUGCGUCGAUUUCGAUUCUACAGGAACAUUGAUCCUUGGAGCAUCGAAUGACUACGCCAGCCGAGUAUGGACUGUCAGUGACUUCCGAUUAAAGGUAAGUGAUCCAUUUAUUUUGACGAGGAGGGCCGGAGUUCGCCUUCAUCCUUGGAAACACGUAAGCGAUGCAUUUAUUUUACGAGAAUUAUCAAGACGCGCAUCCUUGAAAACACGUAAGAAUUUAUAUCCCUAUUUGCUUGCAACAGUAGUCCACACUCUAACGGGCCACUGCGGGAAGGUGAUGGCUGCGAAGUUUCUUGGCGAGCCUUCAAAAGUAGUUACUGGCAGUUACGAUCGUACCCUAAAAAUUUGGGACCUGCGUAGCAAAGCGUGUAUAGAAACAAAGUUUGCGGGUUCGAGUUGCAACGAUCUUGUAACUUCAGAUGGUGCGGGCUCUACAAUAAUUAGCGGCCAUUUUGACCAUAGAAUUAGAUUUUGGGAUACAAGAGCCGAAUCCAGCUCAAAUGACAUUUUAUUGGAAGGAAAGGUCACUUCGCUGGAUUUAUCUCGUGAUGCAAAUUACCUUCUGAGCUGUGUCAGAGAUGAUACAUUGAAACUCAUCGAUCUGCGGAUGAAGAAGAUCAUUGGAUCAUUUAGCGCCGAUGGGUUUAAAGUCGGUUUCGACUGGACACGAGCUACUUUUAGUCCAGAUGGUCAGUACAUAGCGGUUGGUUCUUCAGACGGGUCCGUUUUCAUUUGGUCUGUCGCCACUAACACGAUUGAGACUGUGUUGAAAAACCAUUCAGCUGUGGUGACAGCAGUUUCUUGGCAUCCGCACGGCACCUAUUUCGCAUCUGUGGACCGUGCAAAAACGGUGACAAUAUGGGGCGACCAUGUUUAACAGGACAAACAAUCCCAGGAUAGACGAUUGUUUCGCGUAACGAAGGUCAGCUUGUUCUUUCGUUUCGAGAAUGAACUUUCGUCGAAUCGAGAAAUGUAAAAUCCCCGACCGUGGCGCGCAGCUCCAUAGAAGGAGAGAGAGAGAGAGAGAGA